This 253-nucleotide ribosomal RNA is filed under the name uncultured bacterium. RNAcentral's name for it is "partial 16S ribosomal RNA". It matches the Rfam family "Bacterial small subunit ribosomal RNA", at positions 524 to 776 of the family's 1533-position model. The record is from RNAcentral.
UACGUAGGGUGCAAGCGUUGUCCGGAAUUAUUGGGUGUAAAGAGCUCGUAGGCGGUUUGUCGCGUCGGCUGUGAACUCCCGAGGCUCAACCUCGGGCCUGCAGUCGAUACGGGCAAACUAGAGUGUGGUAGGGGAGACUGGAAUUCCUGGUGUAGCGGUGAAAUGCGCAGAUAUCAGGAGGAACACCGGCGGCGAAGGCGGGUCCCUGGGCCAUAACUGACGCUGAGGAGCGAAAGCGUGGGGAGCGAACAGG